AUGGCAUGGCCAGUGCUCCAGCAGCUCCUGCUCAUCGCCGCCGCCACCACUGCGGCGGCGUCGUCCUCAGCGACGACGCCUGAUGGGCCGGCGCCCUGGCCGGAGCAGUUCCACGCGGUGCUGUUCACGAACCUGACCAACGUCUCGAUUGCUUCAACGGGCCCGCCGCUCCGCCUGCACGACCUGUACUACGACUGGCCGCGGCGGCGCAACCUGAACCUGAUCCGGCACCAGCUCUCGGGGGACCCGCUGUACGACGUGGAGUGGAACAACGGCACCACCUUCUACUUCGACUCGGCCACCUGCCGCACGCAGCAGGUCCCCGUCGGCGUGCUCCCCCCCGGGUGGCUCGCCGACGGAGGCGCCGUCUACCUCGGCCGCGAGACCACCGGCGGGAUCGACUGCCGCGUCUGGGGCAAGGCCGACUUCAUCCUCUACUACGAGGACGCGCUCACGGGGCGCCCAGUCCGCUGGAACUUCCUUGACGUGACGGGGUUACAGCAGUUCGUGAUGAGCUUCGAGGUGGGCGUGGUGCUGGAAGACGACGACCAGUGGCAGGCGCCCGCGCACUGCUUCCUGGAUGAAGCAGCCCACGGGACCAACGAGGAUGACGACCAUCUGGAUGAAUGGCAGGCGGCCAUGCUAUUCAGGAAGUUGGCUGGAGCUGCUGCCGCGUACUGA
This 681-nucleotide ribosomal RNA is filed under the name Triticum aestivum (bread wheat). Its description in RNAcentral is "partial small subunit ribosomal RNA". Lineage: Eukaryota; Viridiplantae; Streptophyta; Magnoliopsida; Poales; Poaceae. The record is from RNAcentral.